AAAAACAGUAGGGGUUUUGGAAAGUGGUCGUUCUGAGAGCAAUGACACUGGCGCACGCGUGCAUGUGAUGACUCCAUUUUCUAUUUUCAGUGUUUGAACGGAUACAACGUCUCCCGGUUGGAAUAUUAUCGCUAUUUUAUGAGAAAAAUCGCAUAAAAAUUGAUUUUAAACAGCGUUUGACAUGCUUCGAAGUACGGUAAUGGAAUAUUUUGACAUUUUUUGUCACGAUACGCGCCGGCACGUCACCCUUCAGAUAGUGUCUUGAACGCAAGAACAAAACGCAGCUAUUUGGAUAUAACUAUGGAUUAUUUGGAACCAAAACAACAUUGGAUGUUGAAGUAGAAGUCCUGGGAGUGCAUUCUGACGAAGAACAGCAAAGUUUCCAUGCUAGUUUGGAGAUGCUGCCUAUCUGGAGCUGUUUUCGCUGUGUCCUGAAAGCCUGUCAGGGGAAGACUCCAGCUUCCAUGGCAUUAAAGCAUCAAAGGAGGCCGUCUGAUGUUCCGAGAACAGAGGAAGUCAUCAUACACAACGGGCCAACACAACCCCAACACUCAGUCCCAAACCCAUCCAAUUAAUCAUGUUGAUAGAAGCCCUCCAGAGAGCACAGUGGAGACGGAGCCCUUUCUCUCUGCAAUGCCAUUAGAGUCAACGUGCCUCUCAAACAAACAGGCAGACAUCUGUGACAUUAGUGUCUUCUCUCCACUCAGAUGACCACAGUCCCUGGGGCACUGUGUAUCUCUGGACCUGCCAUUGGACAUAUUGAAAGGGGUUGAACCAUAUUUAUGUUUGAAAGGGCUCUUCAGAGACUUCCUUUUUGUGCUGUAGCUACAAGCCAGGAGGACAAAGUGGCUGUCUUACUCACUGCUGCAAGAUGUGAAAUACUGUAGAACCUAUAUUAUAUCACACGACUUGCCAGAGUUUUCUAGAUAUAAGUUGCCAUAUAGCAUGUUUGGCAUAUUCAGACUUAUAAUUUGUAAUCAUUGGCAACAUUGACAUUGUUUGGGUUUGUUUAGAACAGGGAUGGGCAACUAGCGGGCUGCGGGCCAAAUGACCCCCUUUUGUAGGCCUUGCGGAUCAAUUUCCAAAUUUGGAUCUCAGAAUCGUAGAAUACACAAGGUGCAAUUUUGAAAUUUGGUUGUGUAUCAGCAGUUUUCCUCUUGUUAUGUCAGUCACUGACAGUCACUCAAUUAGCCCAUGUCAGCAAUUUUUGGGGGAUUGGUCAAUUAGUCUAGCGGCCAGCUAUCUUAACUUGUAGUAAUCAUGGUCCAAUUACCCACUGGGCGGGACCCAUUGAUUUUGUUUGUCACUCAGAUAUUAUAUUGAAAACUGAAAACAUUUCUCUCCACCCUACGGCAACAACAUUUCGCUUAGGCUAGGGCCGACUUUGACUGCAUGUGUGGGUAUGGAUGUGGGUGUGCAAGAUGCUGCAGCCCUCGCAUGAUUUUUGGUGGCCCCCACCCCCAUCAAAGUUGCCCAUCCCUGGUUUAGAAUCUUAAUGCACAUUUUCUAGUGGAAAGCCAUGCACAAUUCAAAGCCCCACUUACACACAUCUGUUGUAGGAAUAAUUGCCUGUGAGCAAUCAAAAGCCGACUUCUGAGUCUUUGACCCCUAAUUAUGGUGAUUGAGUGAUUAGGGAAGCAGGUGACCAGAAGAGAUCAAGAUGCUCUUUCAAAAAAUGCACAAUGAUCAAACAACAAACUUGGCAGCAACAUAAACACAACCAACUCGAGCACAGAUGAAACAACUACAGUAUUCUCAUGACACAUGAACAGUCACACACACCAGUGAACAAUUACACAGUUGAAGCUUUGAUACACUGUUAGAAUUUCCAGUCUGUUUCACUCCACAUAUGCCAUUUUGCUGGUGCAUGGCAUUUAUUUCUACCAUACAGUGCCUUUGGAAAGAAUUCAAACCUCUUGACUUUUUCACAUUUAGUUAGGUUAAAGCCUUAUUAUAAAAUGGAUUAAUUAAAUAAAUAAAAUAUUCAAUCAUUUACACACAAUACACCAUAAUGACAAAAUGAAAACAGGUUUUUAGACAUUUUUGAAAAUGUAUUAAAAUAAAUAUAUAUAUUUACAUAAUUUACAGUUGAAGUCGGAAGUUUACAUACACCUUAGCCAAAUACAUUUCAACUCAGUUUUUCACAUUUUGUCAAAAUUCCUUGUAUUAGGUCAGUUAGGAUCACCACUUUAUUUUAAGAAUGUGAAAUGUCAGAAUAAUAUUAGAGAGAAUGAUUUAUUUCAGCUUUUAUUUAUUUCAUUACAUUCCCAGUGGGUCAGAAGUUUACAUACACUCAAUUAGUAUUUGGUAGCAAUGCCUUUAAAUUGUCAAACCUUUCGGGUAGCCUUCCACAAGCCUCCCACAAUAAGUUGGGUGAAUUUUGGCCCAUUCCUCCUGACAGAGCUGGUGUAAAUGAGUCAGGUUUGUAGGCCUCCUUGCUCGCACACACUUUUUCAGUUCUGCCCACAAAUUUUCUAUGGGAUUGAGGUCAGGGCUUUGUGACGGCUACUCCAAUACCUUGACUUUGUUGUCCUUAAGCCAUUUUACCACAACUUUGGAAGUAUGCUUGGGGUCAUUGUCCAUUUGGAAGACCCAUUUGCGACCAAGCUUUAACUUCCUGACUGAUGUCUUGAGAUGUUGCUUCCAUAUAUCCACAUAAUUUUCCUCCCUCAUGAUGCCAUCUAUUUUGUGAAGUGCACCAGUCCGUCCUGCAGCAAAACACCCCCACAACAUGAUGCUGCCACCCCCGUGCUUCACAGUUGGGAUGGUGUUCUUUGGCUUGCAAGACUCCCCCUUAUCCUCCAAACAUAACAAUUGUCAUUAUAGCCAAACAGUUCUAUUGUUGUUCCAUCAGACCAGAGGACAUUGCUCCAAAAAGUACAAUCUUUGUCCCCAUGUUCAGUUGCAAACCGAAGUCUGGCUUUGUUAUGGCGGUUUUGGAGCCGUGGCUUCUUCCAUGCUGAGUGGCCUUUCAGGUUAUGUCGAUAUAGACUCGCUUUACUGUGGAUAUAGAUACUUUUGUACCUGUUUCCUCCAGCAUCUUCACAAGGUCCUUUGCCAUUGUUCUGGGAUUGAUUUGCACUUUUCACACCAAAGUACAUUCAUCUUUAGGAGACAGAACGCAUCUCCUUCCUGAGCGGUAUGAUGGCUGCGUGGUCCCAUUCUGUUUAUACUUGCGUACAAUUGAUUGUACAGAUGAACGUGGUACCUUCAGGCAUUUGAAAAUUACUCCCAAGGAUGAACCAGACUUGUGGAGGUCUACAAUUUCUUUUCAGAGGUCUUGGCUGAUUACUUUUGAUUUUCCCAUGAUGUCAAGCAAAGAGGCACUGAGUUUGAAGGUAGGCCUUGAAAUACAUCCACAGGUACACCUCCAAUUGACUCAAAUAAUGUCAAUUAGCCUAUCAGAAGAUUCUAAAGCCAUAACAUAAUUUUCUGGAAUUUUCCAAGCUGUUUAAAGGCACAGUCAACUUAGUGUAUGUAAACUUUUGACCCACUGUAAUUGUGAAACAUUGAAAUAUGAGUGAAAUAAUCUGUCUGUAAACAAUUGUUGGAAAAAUUACUUGUGUCAUGCACAAAGUAGAUGUCCUAACAAAUUGCCAAAACUAUACUUUGUUAACAAGACAUUUGUGGAAUGGUUGAAAAUGAGUUUUAAUGACUCCAACCUAAGUGUAUGUAAACUUCUGACUUCAACUGUACAUAGGUCCAACAGUUGACAGUGUAUGUCAUAGCAAAAACCAAGCCAUGAGGUCAAAGGAAUUGUCCAUAGAGCUUCAAGACAGGAAUGUGUCGAGGCACAUAUCUGGAAAUGGUACCAAAAAAUGUCUGCAGCAUUGAAAGUCCCCAAGAACACAGUGGCCUCCAUCAUUCUUAAAUGGAAGAAGUUUGGAACCACAAAGACUCUUCCUAGAGAUGGCCGCCCGGCCAAACUGAGCAAUUGGGAGAGAAGGGCCUUGAUCAGGGAGGUGACCAAGAAUCCGAUGGUCACUCUGACAGAGCUCUAGAGUUCCUCUGUGGAGAUGGGAGAACCUUCCAGAAGGACAACCAUCUCUGCAGCACUCUACCAAUCAGGCCUUUAUGGUAGAGUGGACAGAUGGAAGCCACUCCUCAGUAAAAGGCAAAUGACAGCCUGCUUGGAGUUUGCCAAAAGGCACCUAAAGACUCUCAGACCGCGAGAAACAAGAUUCUCUGGUCUGAUGAAACCAAGAUUGAACUCUUUGGUUUGAAUGCCAAGCCUCACUUCUGGAGGGAACCUGGCACCAUCCUUAUGGUGAAGCAUGGUGGUGGCAGCUGUGGUGAUGUUUUUCAGCGGCAGGGACUGAGAGACUAGUCAGGACUGAGGCAAAGAUGAACGGAACAAAGUACAGAGACAUCCUUGAUGAAAAUCUGCUCCAGUGCGCUCAGGACCUCAGACUGGAGUGAAGGUUCACCUUCCAACAGGACAACGACCCUAAGCACACAGCCAAGACAAUGCUGGAGUGGCUUUCGGGACAAGUCUCUGAAUGUCUUUGAGUGGCCCAGCCAGAGCCCGGACUUGAACCCGAUCGAACAUCUCUGGAGAGACCUGAAAAUAGCUGUGCAGCAACGCUCCCCAUCCAACCUGACAGAGCUUGAGAGGAUUUGCAGAGAAAAAUGGGGAAACUCGCCGAAUACAGGUGUGACAAGCUUGUAGUGUCAUACCCAAGAAGACUCGAGGCUGUAGUUGCUGCCUAAGGUGCUUCAACACAGUACUGAGUAAAACAUCUGAAUACUUAUGUAAAUGUGAUAUUUCAGUUUUUCUAAAAUUUCGAAAAUCCUGUUUUUGCUUUGUCAUCAUGGGGUAUUGUAUUUUAGAAUAAGGCUGUAACCUAACAAAAUGUGGAAAAAGUCAAGGGGUCUGAAUUCAUUCUGAAGGCACUGUAUGUCUUAAGCUGCCACCAUUAAAAGCAUAGCUCAGUGGAAUUAUUUUUCCACUAAUGCCGCCGGCAGUGGAAGUUAAGAGCAUUAUGCAGGUGUUACAAAUAUCACAAAGGAGAGCUGAGAAGGAGCAAUGGGAUAAAAUAUAUGAGAUUUCCUUCUCUGUUUGAAUGAUGCACAUAAAAAAAUCUUUACGCACACUAACCCUAAAUAUAGAACAUCAGUCCUUUCAAACGUAGUCAGUGACUAAAGGGGUUGGUUGGGGAGACAGAGGGAUAUGACUAACACUUCUUGGAGACUGUUUCUCAAGUCUAAUCCAUGAAAUGGCUAUCCCUCAAAAUGUGCUUACAAAUAAAAGCAAAAUAACGUUUGUUAUCAAAUAGGGUUCCUCAAAUUAUUUUAGUACGACCCAGCGAAACAAACUUCCUGUAUCUGGCUCAUAGCUCCCAGGCAAUGAUAUUCAUCUAUGAAUUAUUAAAUGAUUGUCCUGCUUAUGUGCACUGAAAUACAGUGAGUUUGGCAAUUGUCCGCAUUUCGAAAUCUGUUGCAGUUCUUUUGAAUUAUUUUGUAGUUUUAUUCCCUUGUAGCUAAUAGGAAGGGUUAAACAGUUUGUAUAUGUAUUUGUUAUCUAUUCCAGC
RNAcentral lists this long non-coding RNA (5531 nucleotides) under Salmo salar (Atlantic salmon). Its description in RNAcentral is "lncRNA (ENSSSAG00000093770.1)". The record is from RNAcentral. Lineage: Eukaryota; Metazoa; Chordata; Actinopteri; Salmoniformes; Salmonidae.